Molecule: long non-coding RNA, 2749 nt
Organism: Chenopodium quinoa (quinoa)
Lineage: Eukaryota; Viridiplantae; Streptophyta; Magnoliopsida; Caryophyllales; Amaranthaceae
Exons: 2
Source: RefSeq, a predicted model, not a curated record
GGUUAAUUUUAUUACGUAAAUAUCAAGAUCCGCCGAGACUAUAUUAACUUAUGGUUAGCACUGUCAAAACGGUUUGACAGUUCGGUUUCGGUUCGAUUUGAAAUCGGUUCGCUAGUUAAUCGGGUCGGUUUGGAAUCGGUUUAAUUGUCUCGCGGGUCGGUUUUGGUUCGAUUUAAAUAGUUAUCGGUUCGAUUCGGUUUCGGUUUAUUCUUAAGCGGUUUUAAUUCGGUUCGGGUUGUAAACAGUCCGGGUAGUAAACGGUUCGGUGCAGGCGGGUUGCGGUUUGUUAACGGUGCGGUGUAAACGGUUUUUUUCCCGGUUCAAACUGUUUCGGGUUGGAAACGGUUUCGGGUUAGAAACAGUUCGGUUCUUUUUUUGUUCAGUUUAUAACUGGUUCGGAUUUUUUUCGGUUCAGCUUUUAACUGGUUCGAUUCUUUUUCGGUUCAGUUUAUAACUGGUUCGGUUCUUCGAUGGUUUAACCACUUUAACAUAAUUCAUAUCGGUUCCAUUUCAAGUUUACUAAAUUACGGUUCGGGUCGGUUUUCGGUUUUAAAAAAUAAAUUGUUUAUUGAGUUGUUUGGAUUCGGGCAGUUAAAUGGCUUUGGUUUGAAAUUUGAUAGUACUUGCUAACCUUUUGCGUUCACAAGUUUUAUAUAAAGUUGGCAAGUCGCGAAUCAUUUCAUAUUUAGGCAUCAUAUUAUAAACAAAUUCUCAUUGAUUUUAUAAAUACAUAUUAUUUUCUGUUUCAAGUUUAGUCAUACCGAUUUUACUAGUUUAUUACGAAGUAGAUUAUAAGAGUUAGUGUAUUAAUGUAUUAUUGUUAUAUAAUUAGGUUAUUAUAUGCUUCUUAUUUAAUCAUUUAUAUACUACACAUACUAUCAUAUAUAAUCAUGAUUUGAUGAGUUCUUGACUUCUUGUGAAAUGGAAAUUUGCAAUUUGGUAAUUCGAUACUUGAUUAGUCAACAAGACUGAUAAUUAUGACUCGUUUAUCAUUAUAUAUUUUCAUGAAAUUAUGAAGAUAUAACAAAGUGCUUUGAUUUGUAUAAUGAAAGAAAACACUAAUGACUAAGUAACAAGGUAAUAUUGAUUAGUUCAAUCGAUCAUAUGUACACAUUAUUAACACAUGACAUCUAACCAUCUCAUAGAUAAAUAUUCGUAUCAUCGUUAUUCAUAUGUAUUAGUACAAAGUUAUAGACUCAUUAGUGAUCUUUUUAAAUUUAUCUAUUUAUACAUUUUAUUAAUAUAAUGUUUUUAUAAUUUUUACGUGUAUGAAAAUAAAGAUAUACUAGUAGAUGUUUUAAUACGUGUCUUGGGCACUGAUCCCAAUCAAAUGGGGCAAAAAAAUACUAAAGAAUUGAGGGAAUAAUAUUUUUGUAGAUGAAUGUACAACACACAAACACACACGGAUUACCAUUCUCAACCAUAGAUUAAAAAAUCAAUGGUUAGAUUCUUUCUCCCACAACACACACGGAUCACCACUCUCAACCAUAGAUUAAAAAAAUCAAUGGUUAGAUUCUUUCUCCCACAACACACACGGAUCACCAAUCUGAACCAUAGAUUAAAAAAUCAAUGGUUAGAUUCAUGAAACCACUCUCACCCUUUUGAAACUCUUUCACUCUCACUCUCACUUUAACACUCUCACUUUACCACUCAUUCUCACGGCGCCUCUCCUUCUCACGGCUAAGCGCCUCUCCGUCUCACGGCGCCUCUCAUUCUCACAUACAUUCAUUCACGGUGUUUGCUGUCCUGAUUCUGAAGCUGUCCUGAUUCUGCCUCUCUCUCAUUGAGUCAUUGGUGUUUGCUGCCAUAAAUGCUCCAAAUUCAGUAAUGGAGCAAGGGUUUGGAAAUUAUGAUGAGCACACUAUAGAUUCUCAAGACACUUUUCAGAAUCAAGAUUCUUCUCAACAACAAGUCACUAACACUAGUGGUAGUAAGCGUCAACGAACAUAAGAUGUGUGGAGGCAUGAAUUGCUAAAGCCUUAUUAUGCCAACUCUAUCUUAUUUUGGUACGAAGUAUGCUAACAGUUUGAGACACUUGAAUUUGUCCUAUCCAAGUUCCAAAAUUUCCAUCUUUGACUGUUCUUGAGAAACCGGUAGUCUGCAGGUUUAAUGAUAAGUUUGGAAUAUUGUGUGUGGCUCUUUAGAAAAAUUGAUAAGUUUGGAAUAUAUGCUAAAUAUAUUCUAAGAUUUCUAAUAUUUAAUCCAUUUAAUUAUAUAAAAAAGUUUGUACUAUUCAAAAUAAAAAAAAUAAAACAGUUUGUAAACGGUCGAUUUAGAAGCGGUUUGGUUCAUAAACGGUUCGGUUUACAACCAGUUCGGUUUUUAAAUGGUUCGGUGCAAACGGGUAGCAGUUUGCUAACGGUUUGGUGUAAGCGGUUUUUUUUGCCAGUUUAAACGGUUUCGGGUUAGAUACGGUUCGGUUCUUUUUCGGUUCGGUUUUCUUUCAGUUCAGUUUAUAUUCGGUUCGGUUUGUUAACGGGUUCGGUUCUUAAACGGUUUACCAUUACUCGGGUUGAUUCGGUUUCGGGUUUACUAAAAUACGGUUCGGGUCGGUUUUCGGUUUCAAAAAAACCGGUUUUUAAUCGGUUCGGUUCUCAUUUGGAUCGGUCGGUUUCGGGCAAUUAAACGGUUUCGGUUUGAAAUUUGACAGCACUACUUAUGGUAAAUUAUCUAAUCGACACUAAGACACUACAUUUGGUUUGGACCAAUAACUUGAGGACAAACAACUACAAAUUCGAAUUAAAUUAUA